GAUGAACGCUAGCUACAGGCUUAACACAUGCAAGUCGAGGGGCAUCAGGGCGAUAGCUUGCUAUCGUUGCUGGCGACCGGCGCACGGGUGAGUAACGCGUAUCCAACCUGGCCCCCAGUAGGGAAUAGCCCGGCGAAAGUCGGAUUAAUGCCCUAUGUUAUCCGAAGAGGACAUCUGAUUUGGAUUAAAGAUUUCAUCGCUGGGGGAUGGGGAUGCGUCCGAUUAGGUAGUAGGCGGGGCAACGGCCCACCUAGCCGACGAUCGGUAGGGGUUCUGAGAGGAAGGUCCCCCACACUGGAACUGAGACACGGUCCAGACUCCUACGGGAGGCAGCAGUGAGGAAUAUUGGUCAAUGGGCGGAAGCCUGAACCAGCCAAGUAGCGUGCAGGAUGACGGCCCUACGGGUUGUAAACUGCUUUUGGAGGGGAAUAACAGGCACUACGUGUAGUGUUUUGCAUGUACCCUCAGAAUAAGGACCGGCUAAUUCCGUGCCAGCAGCCGCGGUAAUACGGAAGGUCCGGGCGUUAUCCGGAUUUAUUGGGUUUAAAGGGAGCGCAGGCGGCCUUUUAAGCGUGACGUGAAAUGUCCCGGCUCAACCGGGGAGUUGCGUCGCGAACUGGGGGGCUUGAGUGCGGACGCGGCAUGCGGAAUUUGUGGUGUAGCGGUGAAAUGCUUAGAUAUCACGAAGAACGCCGAUUGCGAAGGCAGCGUGCCAGGCCGUAACUGACGCUAAUGCUCGAAGGUGCGGGUAUCGAACA
RNAcentral lists this ribosomal RNA (758 nucleotides) under uncultured bacterium. RNAcentral's name for it is "bacterial SSU rRNA". It matches the Rfam family "Bacterial small subunit ribosomal RNA", at positions 28 to 774 of the family's 1533-position model. The record is from RNAcentral.